UACGGAGGGGGCUAGCGUUGUUCGGAAUUACUGGGCGUAAAGCGUGCGCAGGCGGUUCUGAAAGUCAGCUGUGAAAGCCCCGGGCUUAACCUGGGAACUGCGGUUGAAACUACAGGACUAGAAUCUGGCAGAGGGGGGUGGAAUUCCACGUGUAGCAGUGAAAUGCGUAGAGAUGUGGAGGAACACCGAUGGCGAAGGCAGCCCCCUGGGCUGAGAUUGACGCUCAGGCACGAAAGCGUGGGGAGCAAACAGG
RNAcentral lists this ribosomal RNA (253 nucleotides) under uncultured bacterium. Its description in RNAcentral is "partial 16S ribosomal RNA". It matches the Rfam family "Bacterial small subunit ribosomal RNA", at positions 524 to 776 of the family's 1533-position model. The record is from RNAcentral.